Molecule: ribosomal RNA, 429 nt
Filed under: Bacteroidota bacterium
Lineage: Bacteria; Pseudomonadati; Bacteroidota
Description: Bacteroidetes bacterium partial 16S ribosomal RNA
Rfam family: Bacterial small subunit ribosomal RNA
Source: RNAcentral
UAGGUAAUCUUCCGCAAUGGACGCAAGUCUGACGGAGCAACGCCGCGUGAGUGAAGAAGGAUUUCGGUUCGUAAAACUCUGUUGUUAGAGAAGAACAGCGCAUAGAGUAACUGUUAUGCGUGUGACGGUAUCUAACCAGAAAGCCACGGCUAACUACGUGCCAGCAGCCGCGGUAAUACGUAGGUGGCAAGCGUUGUCCGGAUUUAUUGGGCGUAAAGCGAGCGCAGGCGGUCAAUUAAGUCUGAUGUGAAAGCCCCCGGCUCAACCGGGGAGGGUCAUUGGUAACAGGUUGACUUGAGUGCAGAAGAGGAGAGUGGAAUUCCAUGUGUAGCGGUGAAAUGCGUAGAUAUAUGGAGGAACACCAGUGGCGAGGGCGACUCUCUGGUCUGUAACUGACGCUGAGGCUCGAAAGCGUGGGUAGCAAACAGG